Long non-coding RNA from Cyprinus carpio (common carp), 840 nucleotides. The record is from Ensembl. NCBI's taxonomy places the organism in Eukaryota, Metazoa, Chordata, Actinopteri, Cypriniformes, Cyprinidae.
AUGAAGAUACACUUUUCAGCGCUGGUGAUAUUAGCAGGCUGGAUGAUGUCUGGAGGCAGCACAGAGAGCAAUGCAACAACAGGAACUACAGUUGCGACUACAUUUACCUCAGAUGUAGCGACUUCACUAACACACACACCAUCAGCAGAUUCCUCUCAGACGCAAUCAACUAAUGAAUCUGUCUCCACGAUCCACAACACAAAUCAAACCACGACUGAGUCCCCGCACAAUGUGAGCAUGAGCACUACGAACAGCUCCACACCUGCCCAGACAACAUCAAAUACAACCUCUGACUAUAACGCUACCUCUGCAGCGACUGUGCUCACCAGCGCGGCCCACAACGCGACCAACGCGUCGACCAGCGCGUCGACCAACGCGUCGACCCCAGUCACAUCGGGUUUGGUGAAUGAAACUCUGACAACACCCUCCUCAGAGAACCAUACCUCAGAGAACACAACUCUGGGAAGCACAAAACCGGUGGUUACUGUUGCCAAAAGCACAACUACACCAAUCAUUUCUACGACUAAAACGGUGCACACUACUUCUGUGUUAACAACACCAACAAAAAAAUCAACAGCAGCAACAAGAACAACAAAAACAACAACAACCACCACAAAACCAGUAACAACCAAACCCCCGGGCUCUGCUGACCACGAAAAGAAGGAUCAUCUGAGCUCAGGAAGUGUCGUUGCCAUCGUAAUUGGCUUUAUUGCUAUUGUACUAAUUUUACUUGUUGGUGCGUACUACUUCAAAAUGCGACGCUCUUCUUAUGGACGUCUUUUGGAUAAUAGUGAUCACAGCUCUGUGGGGAAUUUUCUUAACCCAGUGUUUGAUGGCUAA